AUUGAACGCUGGCGGCAUGCCUUACACAUGCAAGUCGAACGGUAACGGGCCUUCGGGUGCCGACGAGUGGCGAACGGGUGCGUAAUACAUCGGAACGUGCCCGAUCGUGGGGGAUAACGAGGCGAAAGCUUUGCUAAUACCGCAUACGAUCUACGGAUGAAAGCAGGGGACCGCAAGGCCUUGCGCGGACGGAGCGGCCGAUGGCAGAUUAGGUAGUUGGUGGGAUAAAAGCUUACCAAGGCGACGAUCUGUAGCUGGUCUGAGAGGAUGAUCAGCCACACUGGGACUGAGACACGGCCCAGACUCCUACGGGAGGCAGCAGUGGGGAAUUUUGGACAAUGGGCGCAAGCCUGAUCCAGCCAUGCCGCGUGCAGGAUGAAGGCCUUCGGGUUGUAAACUGCUUUUGUACGGAACGAAAAGCCUUCUUUUAAUACAGGAGGGUCAUGACGGUACCGUAAGAAUAAGCACCGGCUAACUACGUG
Molecule: ribosomal RNA, 482 nt
Filed under: uncultured bacterium
Lineage: Bacteria
Description: partial 16S ribosomal RNA
Rfam family: Bacterial small subunit ribosomal RNA
Source: RNAcentral